Molecule: ribosomal RNA, 444 nt
Filed under: uncultured bacterium
Lineage: Bacteria
Description: bacterial SSU rRNA
Rfam family: Bacterial small subunit ribosomal RNA
Source: RNAcentral
GUAGGGAAUAUUGGGCAAUGGUCGGAAGACUGACCCAGCCAUGCCGCGUGCAGGAAGACGGCCCUCUGGGUUGUAAACUGCUUUCAUCUGGGAAGAAAAAGGCCAUGCGUGGCAAAUUGCCGGUACCAGAUGAAUAAGCACCGGCUAACUCCGCGCCAGCAGCCGCGGUAAUACGGAGGGUGCGAGCGUUGUCCGGAUUUAUUGGGUUUAAAGGGUGCGUAGGCGGCUGAUUAAGUCAGAGGUGAAAGACUUCGGCUUAACCGGAGCAGUGCCGUUGAUACUGGUUGGCUUGAGUGUCGGAGGGGUACAUGGAAUUGAUGGUGUAGCGGUGAAAUGCAUAGAUACCAUCAGGAACACCGAUAGCGAAGGCAUUGUACUGGCCGACAACUGACGCUGAUGCACGAAAGUGUGGGGAUCGAACAGGAUUAGAAACCCUUGUAGUCC